UAGAGUUUGAUCAUGGCUCAGGAUGAACGCUAGCGGCAGGCUUAAUACAUGCAAGUCGAGGGGUAUAAAGUAGCUUGCUAUUUUAGAGACCGGCAAACGGGUGCGGAACACGUACACAAUCUAACCUUAUCUGGGGGAUAGCCCAUAGAAAUGUGGAUUAAUACCCCAUAGUAUUACGGAGUGGCAUCAUUUUGUAAUUAAAGAAUUUCGGAUAAGGAUGAGUGUGCGUCUGAUUAGGUAGUUGGCGGGGUAACGGCCCACCAAGCCGACGAUCAGUAGCUGAUGUGAGAGCAUGAUCAGCCACACGGGCACCGAGACACGGGCCCGACUCCUACGGGAGGCAGCAGUAAGGAAUAUUGGUCAAUGGACGGAAGUCUGAACCAGCCAUGCCGCGUGAAGGACGAAGGCGUUCUGCGUUGUAAACUUCUUUUAUCAGAGAAGAAACCACCGAUUUCUAUUGGUGUUGACGGUAUCUGAUGAAUAAGCACCGAGCGAACUCCGUGCCAGCAGCCGCGGUAAUA
RNAcentral lists this ribosomal RNA (521 nucleotides) under uncultured bacterium. Its description in RNAcentral is "bacterial SSU rRNA". It matches the Rfam family "Bacterial small subunit ribosomal RNA", at positions 1 to 525 of the family's 1533-position model. The record is from RNAcentral.